This is a long non-coding RNA of Pieris brassicae (large cabbage white), 508 nucleotides long. RefSeq lists it as uncharacterized. The transcript has 4 exons. Lineage: Eukaryota; Metazoa; Arthropoda; Insecta; Lepidoptera; Pieridae. The record is from RefSeq and is a predicted model, not a curated record.
CAGACGUUGAAAUUGCAAUAUGGCCACUGGAUACUUGUGCAUUCUGCUGUUUUCUGCAAUGCUUGCAGCUCAUUUAAUAUCCGCGCAAGACAACGACGACGAAGGCAGCAGUAGUGAUUGGUGGGGCUCCAUUUCCGAAAACCACUCCAGGAGCGGAAUCAGGAAACGGCAAAUUAAUAUUUUGGUCCCAAAAGGCAUCUGUGAUUACAACUCUGAGCCUGACUGGGGUUGUUUCAACUCUACUAGUCGACAAUUCUGUACGAAGAACAAUCUAUUGUAUAUUUUUGACUGCACCGUUGACAAACCUUUCUGUAGCCAUGGUUUAUGCUCCGCAAUUCUAAUUGUCUCGCAUAAGUAGAAAAUUUUUAAUAUGAAAUACAUGGAAAAGGUCUUGGCCAGCUUCAUUACCUAGUAGUCUGUUGAACUUAAAAUAUUUAGAAAUGUAAUAUAUGCAUAUUGCACAGUAGUGAUUGAUUAAUGUAUAAAUAAAAAUAUAACUAUUCAGUGA